This 493-nucleotide ribosomal RNA is filed under the name uncultured bacterium. RNAcentral describes it as "partial 16S ribosomal RNA". It matches the Rfam family "Bacterial small subunit ribosomal RNA", at positions 29 to 507 of the family's 1533-position model. The record is from RNAcentral.
ACGAACGCUGGCGGCGUGCUUAACACAUGCAAGUCGAACGGUGAAGCGCCUUCCUUUUUGGUGGGUGUGGAUGAGUGGCAAACGGGUGAGUAACACGUGAGUAACCUGCCCCCUUCUUCUGGAUAACCGCAUGAAAGUGUGGCUAAUACGGGAUAUUCUGGGUCUGUCGCAUGAUGGGUCUGGGAAAGAUAUUGUUUCGGUGGGGGAUGGGCUCGCGGCCUAUCAGCUUGUUGGUGGGGUGAUGGCCUACCAAGGCGGUGACGGGUAGCCGGCCUGAGAGGGUGGACGGUCACACUGGGACUGAGACACGGCCCAGACUCCUACGGGAGGCAGCAGUGGGGAAUAUUGCACAAUGGGCGCAAGCCUGAUGCAGCGACGCCGCGUGAGGGAUGGAGGCCUUCGGGUUGUGAACCUCUUUCGCCAGUGAAGCAGGCCUGCCUCGUUUGUGGGUGGGUUGACGGUAGCUGGAUAAGAAGCGCCGGCUAACUACGUG